Cygnus olor (mute swan) is the source of this 5861-nucleotide long non-coding RNA. RefSeq lists it as uncharacterized. The transcript has 16 exons. The record is from RefSeq and is a predicted model, not a curated record. NCBI's taxonomy places the organism in Eukaryota, Metazoa, Chordata, Aves, Anseriformes, Anatidae.
CUCCCGGGUGAGUUUAUUGGUGUUUAUUGGUAAACUGCAUGGGCAUGGGCAGGCUGGGGACACAUCAAGGGCCCAGUGUGGGCCUGGCCCUGGGGACACUGCAGGAGGACCCCGUUCCUGAGGGGCCUGGUGCCACCAGGCCUCGGGGCAGCGUGUCCCAGGGCCAGGCCUUGCACCGCAUGGCCUGACCCAACACGGGACUUGGGGGGGCUGCAUUACAGGGGAACACCUGGUGCCAGCCCCAGUGAUCGCAGGGGAGCUGCUGGGGUCAAUCCCCACACAGACAUAGCCACUCUCAACCAGUUCUCUGCCUCCACCUUGUCCCACCCUCAGGCCAAUCCCAGUCCUGCCCCCUUAGCACCCACGUCUAUUUCCUCCAAGAUGAGCUGAUUAUCUCUGUGGCCUCCUGGCUGAAACGUCAGUGGAGAACCCAGCUAUGCAGGGUCUGUGGCCAACUUCUUAGCAGGGGAGAUGCGGGCAAGGCUGGUGUUGCAGUUGGAAGGCUGUCUUCGUGGCCUGGGACAGCUCCUGCUGGAACAGAGCACUGGAGAUGUGUGGAUAUCAGCGAGGCACAUGCUGUAAUUGCCGGAGGAGCGGUGGGAGCUCUCAUGGGUAGGUGAAGCAAACACCAAGGUUCUGCAGCUGUGAGCAGUUGUUUUCCAGUGACACUGAGGCAACCAUUCUGCAUACUGGACAUAUCAGCAUCACUAAUUUCGAAGAGACUGAAGAUUUUGCCUACGCUUAGCCACAGCUGCCCUUUCAUCCUGAGACGUUCUUUCCCUUUGGUUGCAGAUGUAGGCAGCUCAGCUGUCUUUCCACCAGCAUUAGGACAGGAGGAAAAUUAAGCUGUGAACUGGAAUUCCAUCAGGCUGUCUACUGUGAAGCCCUGUGGCUUUAGCAAAGGGGCAGCAGUGGUCAGAAAUGACACUCAAAAGAAAAUGACAUGGAAUUCACAGUGGACUUCCUACUCCUGUGAAAGAAAGGGAGAAGAUGCUUUUGCUUCACACUAUCUUCGCAUCUAAGGAGGUUGCUGCUGUUCAGCACUUCUGCAACUUAGACACACACAGAAACGGGAACCCUUUGCAGCCAGUAGUGGAACAUGAGUGUGGACCCUUCAGGCUUUGUCUGAUUUCUUCCUGUUUCUCCAACGUGUUGCUAAAUCGUGGCAAUGGAAGAGCUCAUCUCCAGGCUGCCGAACGCAUGCUGCCUUCCAGGUAAAUGUGUGACUAUCAUAGUAAUAGAAGGAUCCUUGAAGUGUUUUCCUUCACAUGCAUAGAAGGCCCUCAAGUACAAGGCACCAAAGAACCACACCCAAGAAGAUCUAAGGUCCUCAGGCUUCCACAACAUGAAUCUGUUUCAUCUGGGUCAGCAAGAUCUCAGUCAGCUUCAUUAGCUUCAGAAAUUUGUGCUCAGAGCUGUUGGGAGAAGAUGGGUCUAUGAAAGAACAACAGAAGAUGAGCGAAGCCUCCGGAGCUGCAGCCCCUCACGUGUUUCCAGAGCCCCAGCUCCUGUGCUGUGGCUCGUCCAUCACCGCCCCGCUGUUGCACUGAUCCACACCCCCAGCCCACCUGACGCCUCUUCUGCAGCCCAGGAGCUCCUUCCCCACCACACAUCCACCUCCUCCUGGCCUCGGCAGCCCAGUUUAAAAUCUUAAUCCCUGAAUAAUGCCACCGCCUGCCUCCCAGCUUUCUUUGGAGACCUUCCAGCUCUGGCCAGCCCUGACCCUAUUUGACUUAAGCAGUUGUGCCUGCUGGGAAUGGAGUCUGCCUCACGCCAGUGCCACGACUCCUGAGAGGCCAAGUCAUCGGCACGUGGAGCCCUCACUGCAAAUCCCCAUGCCUGUCCAUCUGUAAUGCUGGUCUUAAGACACAUUCAGAUGCUUUUUGACCUCAAGACUAAGCCAUGUUACAUGUGUGAAAGGCCUAGCAUCUCUGCUCUGAUCCGCAGCACCGCUCCUGUGUACUGACUGUUUUUAUUUCAUGAUCCAUGCUGAACUCCCCGGAGCCCAGGCCUGGGCGCUGACACGGAGACAGCCCGCCCGAGCACCGGGAUCGCUGCUGCCGGGCGGCCGCAGUGCCUGUGGAUGCCCUCUCAGGACAGGCCUUGGAGGAGCGGCUCUCACCAUUUCAUUUCGUUGGCCAUGUGCUUCCAAUGCAGAAGCUGUGUUGCCUGCUGCACCUCCUUUUAAAUCCCAGGAUGACUUUUUUUUGGGGAGAACAUGUAGGAAGAAAGAAGUUUUACCUCCCCGCCAGUGGAGGGAUGAGUCUAGACUUUAACAACAUGAAUGGGAAACAUGACCCAAGCAAACGCCAUAUUGCUCACUAGAGGAGGAGACUUGGAUUUAGAGGGAUUAUAUCAACUGGCAAAGAAUCCGUGCAGUAUUGAGAAAGUGAAGUUGAGGGUUGCAAAAGAGUGAAGCAGUGCAGGAUAUCCAAAUCCUCUUGGCUUCUGACCGCAGCAGACAACGGUUCUCCUAGACCUCAUUGAAAGCUGUGCCUGAAAAGACUAUGAGGUAGUUUGCCCAGUGAUGACAAGGGCAGUGGCAACACAGUCCCUGUGAGAACCACAUCCUAUAGGGCUCACAGCGUGGGCUUUGGAUCAUGUACUGGGAGCUGCUCCUCUGCAGGUGCAGCCGUCUCAAAGCUCCUGUACCUUGCAGCCAGAUGGAGGUGCCUUUGGUUGCUUGUUUGUGGCCUGCUUGGUUUCAACUUCACCAUGGCCACAUAUAAUCGUGCAAACUUCCAGUUACCUGUGAGGUUAUGUAGAUCCAGAAUUAAAAGCCAGGUUUACAACUACAGCGUGAAUAUUGUAAAUUGCUUACACAGAAGGUCCUGUGAGGGUGAGGGAUGAAGGUCCUCUGUCACCGCCUAUGAUCCAUUGGCUGGGGAAGAGCAGCAACAAAACCAGAGUCUCAUUUCUUCUUUUCGCUAUUAAAGUGCUGUUCAAAUUCUGACCUUGAUGGCAAAUCUUCAAGGCAGAUAAUUGCUCGGUUGUUGGUAGUAUGGGUGGCUUUUUUCCCGACAGAGAGGAACAGAAGAACUCCUGCGUGAUGUCCCGGGGAGGGGGCACUGAGUCACUGAGUUUUUCAGAGAAAGUGGCCAUGAGAUGCGGGCUCCUGACCAGGCACUUGAGUCCUUUGCAGAGUCUUUCUGCACCAGCCAUUCAGGCCUCGCUAAUGUUAUGCACCAGGACUCACACAAGGUUUGUUCAAGAACAUGAAAGCAAAAUGGCCAGCUGGAAUCCUACUUGCCUUGUGGAAUACAGUAAAGCACAUGGAAACACAAUACUGCUGCUUGUAUUGCAAUUUCUGCUUUCAGCCCUUUUCAGAGCAGCAAGAGUGAGUUACAUGAAGUCCCACUAUGGCUGAAUUCUGUUUUUGUUAAACUGUGGUGUCAAUCAAGUUGGCUAAACUGACCUGUUUUUUUUUUUUUUUUCCCCUGUAAAGGUCCUUUGCAAAUACAGUCUUAUAAAUCUAGGGAGCUAUAAAAAGGAAACUUGUGAACAUCCUGGUUUUGGCCACCUUUCUGCAUUACCUACCUUUACAGACCUGUGCUGGUUAUGAGGAUGGGUUGAUCCGGGACGCUGUGGGAAUGCAGCACCCAGUUAAGGUCUCAUUUCCCUCUUUUGCAUUCCUCUUCUGCCUGCAUUUAAGGAUGAGAGGUGCCUGGAAAUAUCAAAUACUUCAGUGAGCAGAUCUUUUACUCCUAGCAAGCAAUUUGUUCCCCACCCCCUGGUCACUGCUGCCUUCGAAGAGUAAUGAGGGCUGGGUCAACACAGCCUUUUUACAGGCAUUUUCUUUCUUUGGGGAUCCAUGGCUCACCCAAAAGAAAAUUAAAUUGCUUCCUAAAGGACGGGGUUAUUUAUUUCCUUGAAGUAAAUCAAGCCAUGCUGCCAAACAAUCAUUACCAACCCAUUAAUAGGUUAAUCAUUAUAACUGCAGCAGUGUCAUGGCACCUUGCUCUCAGUAGCGCUGCCAACAUCCUUUGUCAAGUCGCGGGUUUGCAGUGGUGUUCAUUACGUUCCCACAACGGGUGAAAUGUUUUCAUUUCAGUCACAAGUGCAUUACUUGGAUCAAACAGAAAUGUUGCUGCUUCCCUGAACCUUCCCUGAACUCCAAUAAUCAAACUCUUGGCUGCUUUUGCUGUGACCUGGCUACUGCUGCACCAAAUGCAGCCCCUCGUCCUGCUGAGUUUUAUAGUUUUAGGAACAGGCAACUAUGACAAAUGAACUUCCUUUCAUCUCAGCAAAGGGCACGGCCCUAGAUCCAUAUAAAAUGGAAAGUGUGGAAGAGCUUCCUAAUGCUGAAAUGUAUCUGAAUUCCCCGAUGCACAUUUCAGAUUGAGGAGGAGAUGUCUGGCUUAGCAUAUAUUCCUAUAUUCCUGAGGUAUCUGAAGAUAGUCGGCGUUUAAUUGCUCUGUUUUAUUUAGAAACAUAAUUAAUCAGGAGUUACACCCUUCGUAAUACAAUAUUAUCUUAUCUACUUCACACCAGUUGAUUAAGCCAUGGCAGUUGUAAAACAGUAAACAGCUUAUUAAUACCAAAACCUAUAAAAGGGAUAUCGGGGUAAGUGUGCUCCUGCGUCAGCUUUGAGCCUCAGACCCCGAGAAGUUCACGGCGCCGUGACACUGCAGUAAAACACUGCACCACCACAACUUUUCAACCAUAUCUAAAAGGCCAAUUUAGGUUUAUUCCCAUUCACAGCUUAUGGCCAUGGUUCAGCAGGUGUAAACUAGUAAUAGCUCCAGUCCAGGGCUGGAAGCCUGCCAGUAACAGAUGUGUUCAGUCAAAUGACUAAUUGAAAACCUUAAACAAAAUCAGCAGCUUGGCUAUUUUGCCUGCAUAAUAAAGCAGUGCUGAUAAAGGCAGUGGAAAAACACCCCUCUCAUCAUCAAUGCCAUUAACAAUCAUGAGUAAAGAUGAAAACAACGCAUGGUUUAUUCUGCAAAUGAAGGCAUAUAACUAGAUGACGUCCCAGGAGUCCAUUACCAAUUUUAAUAAUACAUCAAGGAGCCUGAGCAAACAGUUUGUAUGUGAAAGCCAAACACAGCAAACUACUUACAGUUACCGCAUAGAGAGACAACUCCCAGUGCUAUGAAUUUAACAAAUUUAUAAAGGUACAUAACAUGAUAGCUAUUAGCUAAAUUAAAAGAAAGCCAUUAUAGACUGCAGACUUGCACCACUUGCCAGCUAAACACCAUGAAGUACAAACUUUUGAUUCAAAUGAAUUUCCUUUUACAAGAGAACUGCCUGAGUUGGAGUCAAAUUAUGUGCAUGAAUAAUAAAAUACCAUCUAAUUAAAAACUGUAGUUAAAUAUGCAAAAACUAAUGAUAAUGAGAUUGUGCAAUACCUCAGAGUAUAGCACUUUAUAAAUUACUCAGAAGUGCUAGUUGGCUUGACCUAAACAGCAGAUAAUGGAAGCUGCUUUGGAAGUUCUUAGCUGCAGCUUCCCAGGGUGCCCUGCUUUCUGUGCCCAAGCACACAGCUAAUCCUUGCCGCUGCAAGGUGAGAUGGCAGCCACUUUUGUGCUCGGAGGUAACUCCUGCUUUGGUGGGACCGCAGGUGGGUCUGGGGAGCAGGCAGGGAGCGGAGCCUGCACUCUGGAGGUCCCGGGCUCUGCUUUGCUUUUGCUGCCCCGUGACACCCGCAUGGAAACCAGCCCACAAGUAGGUGGAUAGGCAGAAGGUAGAAUUUCAUGCCAAGUCCACGUGGAGACAAAAGCCCCAGCUGAGGUGCAGCUUGUGGCAGUGGUUUUCAAAGGGACCUGGGGUUUAGGUACCCCCAUCUUGCACAAGUUCACUAGGAGUGGGCACGUAACACCUUUGGUGACUUGGUUUGACAAUCUGAGCAUCAACGCCUCCAG